GUCGUGCCCUCUCUUUCUGACCACGGCCUCCAUAGAAGUUUGUGGGUGUUUGGAGAGUCAUUUUUGCUACCACUGUCGUUAUCCUUUUUCCCCUGGCGACUGUUAAACCUUUCUUUUUAGAGUGCUGCUGAAAGGCGUGAGAGAAGUGUCCCAGUAUGAGAGCUACUAAAAGAGAGGCACCGACCGAUGGUGGCUACCCACCCUCGAGAAAUUCCCAUCUCUGUAUGGAGCCCCAGGAUGUAAACACGUAAACGACUAUUCAAGGCCAGGUUCCCUGAGAGCCUCAACUGGAGUUCCUCUCCCUGGGGAAGUGAUGAUAAUGACUUUUUCUUUGGCAAAUCCCUUUCUAUCCUUAUCUCCUUGCAGGAUUGUACAACCCUUCUGUCCAGUGGCCCUGGGAACUUCUAGGACUUCCUGAGCCUGUUUUUGCCUAUUUAUUGUGCUGUUUCCUCUGGAAGCUGCUUCAACACUUAAUCUGGUGAAUGCUGGGGUCAAAGGAAGUGCGUAGACUUGACCCAGGCUCUGCAUCCCUCCUCUAGUGCCCCACGCUCUCUCUGGAUCCUAGUCAUACCAGCCAUCUCCAGGCCCUCCAGGAUCCUUUGCUUCUGCCCUCCUCAUAAGGAUAGAGUAAAGGGGCAAAGUAGGUGAUUAAAUAGUUAAUCCCACUAGGGUAUUGUAAGUAGAAAAAAAAAAUAACUUACAGGUUAUUGAUUUACAUUAAUGGUUAGUAAAUUAAUGGUUACUCAGGAAAGCAGGUUUGCUUAACUACAAAACCAGGCAGGCCUGCUUAGCAACAAAACCAUACAACAGAAACAUGAGACAUGACCCCAAACAAUAAAACAGUGGUGGCUUAAGACCCA
This is a long non-coding RNA of Bos indicus x Bos taurus (hybrid cattle), 860 nucleotides long. The record is from Ensembl. NCBI's taxonomy places the organism in Eukaryota, Metazoa, Chordata, Mammalia, Artiodactyla, Bovidae.